UUUAAGCCCCAGUAAACGGCGGUGGUAACUAUAACCAUCCUAAGGUAGCGAAAUUCCUUGUCGGGUAAGUUCCGACCUGCACGAAUGGCGUAACGACUUCCCAACUGUCUCAACCAUAGACUCGGCGAAAUUGCACUACGAGUAAAGAUGCUCGUUACGCGCGGCAGGACGAAAAGACCCCGGGACCUUCACUACAACUUGGUAUUGGUGUUCGGUACGGUUUGUGUAGGAUAGGUGGGAGACUUUGAAGCACAGACGCCAGUUUGUGUGGAGUCGUUGUUGAAAUACCACUCUGAUCGUAUUGGACACCUAACGUCGAACCCUUAUCGGGUUCACGGACAGUGCCUGGCGGGUAGUUUAACUGGGGCGGUUGCCUCCUAAAAUGUAACGGAGGCGCCCAAAGGUUCCCUCAACCUGGACGGCAAUCAGGUGGCGAGUGUAAGUGCACAAGGGAGCUUGACUGCGAGACUUACAAGUCAAGCAGGGACGAAAGUCGGGACUAGUGAUCCGGCACCCCCGAGUGGAAGGGGUGUCGCUCAACGGAUAAAAGGUACCCCGGGGAUAACAGGCUGAUCUUCCCCAAGAGUCCAUAUCGACGGGAUGGUUUGGCACCUCGAUGUCGGCUCGUCGCAUCCUGGGGCUGGAGCAGGUCCCAAGGGUUGGGCUGUUCGCCCAUUAAAGCGGCACGCGAGCUGGGUUUAGAACGUCGUGAGACAGUUCGGUCUCUAUCCGCCGCGCGCGUCAGAAACUUGAGGAAACCUGUCCCUAGUACGAGAGGACCGGGACGGACGAACCUCUGGUAUACCAGUUGUCCCACCAGGGGCACGGCUGGAUAGCCACGUUCGGACAGGAUAACCGCUGAAAGCAUCUAAGCGGGAAACCUUCUCCAAGAUCAGGUUUCUCACCCUUUUAGAGGGAUAAGGCCCCCCGCAGACCACGGGAUUGAUAGGCCAGACCUGGAAGCUCAGUAAUGAGUGCAGGGAACUGGCACUAACCGGCCGAAAACUUACCAACACACAACUCG
Molecule: ribosomal RNA, 1024 nt
Filed under: Mycobacterium avium 10-5560
Lineage: Bacteria; Bacillati; Actinomycetota; Actinomycetes; Mycobacteriales; Mycobacteriaceae
Description: bacterial LSU rRNA
Rfam family: Bacterial large subunit ribosomal RNA
Source: RNAcentral